GACGAACGCUGGCGGCGUGCUUAACACAUGCAAGUCGAACGGAAAGGCCCUGCUUUUGUGGGGUGCUCGAGUGGCGAACGGGUGAGUAACACGUGAGUAACCUGCCCUUGACUUUGGGAUAACUUCAGGAAACUGGGGCUAAUACCGGAUAGGAGCUCCUGCUGCAUGGUGGGGGUUGGAAAGUUUCGGCGGUUGGGGAUGGACUCGCGGCUUAUCAGCUUGUUGGCGGGGUAGUGGCUUACCAAGGCUUUGACGGGUAGCCGGCCUGAGAGGGUGACCGGCCACAUUGGGACUGAGAUACGGCCCAGACUCCUACGGGAGGCAGCAGUGGGGAAUAUUGCACAAUGGGCGGAAGCCUGAUGCAGCAACGCCGCGUGCGGGAUGACGGCCUUCGGGUUGUAAACCGCUUUCGCCUGUGGCGAAGCGUGAGUGACGGUAAUGGGUAAAGAAGCACCGGCUAACUACGU
This 467-nucleotide ribosomal RNA is filed under the name uncultured bacterium. RNAcentral describes it as "partial 16S ribosomal RNA". It matches the Rfam family "Bacterial small subunit ribosomal RNA", at positions 28 to 506 of the family's 1533-position model. The record is from RNAcentral.